CAGUCGCCGCGGUAAUACAGAGGGUGCGAGCGUUAAUCGGAUUUACUGGGCGUAAAGCGUGCGCAGGCGGUUAUAUAAGACAGAUGUGAAAUCCCCGGGCUCAACCUGGGAACUGCAUUUGUGACUGUAUAGCUAGAGUACGGCAGAGGGGGAUGGAAUUCCGCGUGUAGCAGUGAAAUGCGUAGAUAUGCGGAGGAACACCGAUGGCGAAGGCAAUCCCCUGGGCCUGUACUGACGCUCAUGCACGAAAGCGUGGGGAGCAAACAGGAUUAGAUACCCCAGUAGUCCCUGUCUCUUAUAC
RNAcentral lists this ribosomal RNA (301 nucleotides) under uncultured bacterium. Its description in RNAcentral is "partial 16S ribosomal RNA". It matches the Rfam family "Bacterial small subunit ribosomal RNA", at positions 509 to 807 of the family's 1533-position model. The record is from RNAcentral.